UCAGACAAAAAUACUCUUAAGUAUCCAGUAAAGUUGUGGUUAAAUACUUAUUAGCGUAUCGCAAGAUACUAUGAACAUUAUACAUUUAAUAAACUUGAUCAGGUAAACAGCAAUCAUUAUGUUAAUAGAAUCAUUCAAGAGUUUAAUUGUUACCAAGUGUGUGAUUUCUUUUUAUUCAGUAAUGGUUUCUUAGCUACCGGUGUAUAUUUUCCUGUAAGCUGUGCUUUUAGUUCCCAUUAGAUUUUUAGUCUUGGUUACAGUUUCUUUCCUGCGAGGGUUUGUUCCCUUUAUUCUCCCUCCUGAGUCAAGGUCUAUGUAUUCAGUGUUUCAGUUUUUCACUUCCUAUAUCAUUUCUGUUGUCACAUGCUUGUGUCUUGCAUUUAAUUUUGCUACCUUUUGUCAUUGCCGUGAUUAUUUUUGAGCUAUCUCUUGUUUCCUAGGUGUUUCUUAUCUCCUUUUUUUUGCCUCAUGUGUGUGUUUAUAGCCUUAGUCUCCUUCAGUCUUUGUCAGUGUGUCUGUUUAACCUCCCUUGUGAUGACCAGUUCCUGUCUUUAAAUUAAAUUUUUUGUGUGUGUUUUUUUCUUUUUUUUUUUCUUUUUUUUGCACUUUGGGGAUUUUUGAAUCCUACUUUCAUAAAAAGGUCAACUUUAUGUUUCCCUGGUUUGCUGAAAGUCCUGCUUUCAGGUCCUCUUUCUUCCUGAACCUUGCCAGUAUAUUCUGUUUUUUUUUUUGUUUUUGUUUUUUUUUUUUUAUCAACCUUUAAACAAUAACAGGAAAGGAAGAGUUGAAUGUUUUCUAAGGUCACAACAUGAAAAUGCAUUUUAAAUAUUUAAAUUAAAGAUUAUAUUUGAACUAUUGCACUAAAAAUAAACUGGAAUGACUUCAGAGGUCUCUUGACAAUAUAAAUGACAUUGAAAUUAUAGUAAAAGUGCUGUAAAAGUAUUUAAUAGAUCUACAUUUUCUACCCCUCUUGUUCUGGAUGCAGACUUAGGCUGUCAGUUCA
Molecule: long non-coding RNA, 1003 nt
Organism: Astatotilapia calliptera (eastern happy)
Lineage: Eukaryota; Metazoa; Chordata; Actinopteri; Cichliformes; Cichlidae
Source: Ensembl